Molecule: ribosomal RNA, 301 nt
Filed under: uncultured bacterium
Lineage: Bacteria
Description: partial 16S ribosomal RNA
Rfam family: Bacterial small subunit ribosomal RNA
Source: RNAcentral
CAGUAGCCGCGGGAAUACGAAGGGGGCUAGCGUUGCUCGGAAUUACUGGGCGUAAAGGGCGCGUAGGCGGACAGUUCAGUCGGGGGUGAAAGCCCGGGGCUCAACCUCGGAAUUGCCUUCGAUACUGGCUGUCUUGAGUAUGAGAGAGGUGUGUGGAACUCCGAGUGUAGAGGUGAAAUUCGUAGAUAUUCGGAAGAACACCAGUGGCGAAGGCGACACACUGGCUCAUUACUGACGCUGAGGCGCGAAAGCGUGGGGAGCAAACAGGAUUAGAGACCCCCGUAGUCCCUGUCUCUUAUAC